RNAcentral lists this ribosomal RNA (437 nucleotides) under uncultured bacterium. Its description in RNAcentral is "partial 16S ribosomal RNA". It matches the Rfam family "Bacterial small subunit ribosomal RNA", at positions 28 to 507 of the family's 1533-position model. The record is from RNAcentral.
GAUGAACGCUGGCGGCGUGCCUAAUACAUGCAAGUCGGGCGGAAGGUGGUGUUGCUUGUGUCGGAGGGGUUAGCAACGCGUGAGAACGUGACCCUGGGAUGAGAACAACAUCAGGAAAGGGUUACUACUGCCCCCUGGAGUGAGUAGCAGAAGAUGGUAUCCACCGGAUGGUUGGCUAGCGUCUGAUUAGCUUGUUGUUGAGUCAAUAUCGUACCAAGGCGAUGAACCGUAUCUGUUCCGAGAGGGUGAACAGCCACACUGCGACUGAGACACGGACCAGAGUCCUACGCGAGGCAGGCGUGGGGAAUUCUCAGCAAUGGGCGAUAGCUUAACGGAGUAAUCGCGCGUGGAAGCAGUAGGACUACGGGUCGUGAAAUUCUUUUCCAGGAGAAGAAGCAAUGACGGUAUCUGGGGAAUAAGCCUCGGCUAACUCCGUG